GGUUAAGCGACUAAGCGUACACGGUGGAUGCCCUGGCAGUCAGAGGCGAUGAAGGGCGUGCUAAUCUGCGAUAAGCGCCGGUAAGGUGAUAUGAACCGUUAUAACCGGCGAUACCCGAAUGGGGAAACCCAGUGUGAUUCGUCACACUAUCAUUAACUGAAUCCAUAGGUUAAUGAGGCGAACCGGGGGAACUGAAACAUCUAAGUACCCCGAGGAAAAGAAAUCAACCGAGAUUCCCCCAGUAGCGGCGAGCGAACGGGGAGGAGCCCAGAGCCUGAAUCAGCAUGUGUGUUAGUGGAAGCGUCUGGAAAGUCGCGCGAUACAGGGUGACAGCCCCGUACACAAAAGCGCAUGUGUUGUGAGCUCGAUGAGUAGGGCGGGACACGUGGUAUCCUGUCUGAAUAUGGGGGGACCAUCCUCCAAGGCUAAAUACUCCUGACUGACCGAUAGUGAACCAGUACCGUGAGGGAAAGGCGAAAAGAACCCCGGCGAGGGGAGUGAAAAAGAACCUGAAACCGUGUACGUACAAGCAGUGGGAGCACCCUUCGGGGUGUGACUGCGUACCUUUUGUAUAAUGGGUCAGCGACUUAUAUUCUGUAGCAAGGUUAACCGUAUAGGGGAGCCGGAGGGAAACCGAGUCUUAAUUGGGCGUUAAGUUGCAGGGUAUAGACCCGAAACCCGGUGAUCUAGCCAUGGGCAGGUUGAAGGUUGGGUAACACUAACUGGAGGACCGAACCGACUAAUGUUGAAAAAUUAGCGGAUGACCUGUGGCUGGGGGUGAAAGGCCAAUCAAACCGGGAGAUAGCUGGUUCUCCCCGAAAGCUAUUUAGGUAGCGCCUCGUGAAUUCAUCUCCGGGGGUAGAGCACUGUUUCGGCUAGGGGGCCAUCCCGGCUUACCAACCCGAUGCAAACUGCGAAUACCGGAGAAUGCUAUCACGGGAGACACACGGCGGGUGCUAACGUCCGUCGUGAAGAGGGAAACAACCCAGACCGCCAGCUAAGGUCCCAAAGUCAUGGUUAAGUGGGAAACGAUGUGGGAAGGCCCAGACAGCCAGGAUGUUGGCUUAGAAGCAGCCAUCAUUUAAAGAAAGCGUAAUAGCUCACUGGUCGAGUCGGCCUGCGCGGAAGAUGUAACGGGGCUAAACCAUGCACCGAAGCUGCGGCAGCGACACUGUGUGUUGUUGGGUAGGGGAGCGUUCUGUAAGCCUGUGAAGGUGUGUCGUGAGGCAUGCUGGAGGUAUCAGAAGUGCGAAUGCUGACAUAAGUAACGAUAAAGCGGGUGAAAAGCCCGCUCGCCGGAAGACCA
Molecule: ribosomal RNA, 1306 nt
Filed under: Salmonella enterica subsp. enterica serovar Stanley
Lineage: Bacteria; Pseudomonadati; Pseudomonadota; Gammaproteobacteria; Enterobacterales; Enterobacteriaceae
Description: partial 23S ribosomal RNA
Rfam family: Bacterial large subunit ribosomal RNA
Source: RNAcentral